This 1080-nucleotide long non-coding RNA is filed under the name Heterocephalus glaber (naked mole-rat). RNAcentral describes it as "lncRNA (ENSHGLG00000038300.1)". Lineage: Eukaryota; Metazoa; Chordata; Mammalia; Rodentia; Bathyergidae. The record is from RNAcentral.
CGCAGCCUGCGGGAGCAGCGCGCAGACCAGCGCGGGCCGGGCCGCCGAGCCCCGCGGAGGGCGCUCACCUCAGAGGCGCGGCCCGGCGGGUCCGUCCCGCCCGUCCGUCAGUCAGUCAGUCAGCGGCGGGGCAGCGGCGCAUCCCGCCCGCGGCGGCCGAGGAGGGGAGCAGUCGCGCGAGGGAGCGAACAGGCCGAGAAGGCGAGACGGGAGAGAAGCGCGCCAGCCCGAACUCAGUCUCCACUCUGCUUCCGGGGCCUUCUACCGCCGCCGCUGGCCAGAGAGUCGCCGCCGGGGCCGCUGCUGUCGCCACCGAUGCAGCCAGGAAUGAAUGCACAGCGGCGCCUCAGUUAUCCGGAGGUCAAACAUCCUUCGGCCUCGAGCAUCCGGAUCGGCGCUGGACCCGGAAGUGAACACAUGGAAAAAAAUUAAAAAGGAAAGCGUCGCUCUAGCGGCAGCUGCGGCGGUGGCCCCAGCGCUGCCCGAGUCCACGAAAAGAGCCGAGCAGAGCCGAAGAUUACACUAACCUGCUUGGAUUGGUUGGAUCGCCAAUAGGAAGGGAGGCAGCGCGCUAGCUGGCUGGCACGGCCUAUAAAAGCUAAGCCACGCCUCGUCCCCGCCUUCCCUCGAGCGGCUCUUGAGGUGUAAAUGCAAGUAUGUUUCUCUGGGUGAGUCUGUGAGUCUACGGAGAGAGCUGGAAGACAACGUUUCGGUGUGUUAAAAGAGCUACUAAAAAUUCACACCCUGCCUUGGAGCAGCUGCCUAUAGACUGAAACUUCUGCAAACUAACCAUACUGUUUGGAUUCUCCAACAACCAGACUUCUCUGGUGUCUCCUGUCUCAGUCCUGUGGAGACAAACAGGAUUACCCAACCAACCUUCGGGGUCUCUUCUAGCUCUGCCUGCCUACCUCUAUGUCUCAAUGGAAAGGAGGAGACUCAGACCCAACAAAGAAGCCUGCCUCCUCAGUUCACUUAUUUCCAGGGGAGGUCCCAGUAACCCACUUCCAGAAUAUGUCAAGCUCACUGAUAUUGUCCAGAGGACUCUAGUGUGAUCCAGGGAAAAGAUUAAACCUGCUUGAC